ACCCUCUCAGAAUCACACCUGGAGAGUUCCCAGUACUCUACCAGCCUUGGCUACCGAAGGGAUAGGUAAGCAGAAGCAAACCCAUUUCAUUCUUAGCUUGGGCAGUGGCUAGAGAGUGGAAAACAAUCUGCUACAAGU
Non-coding RNA from Ornithorhynchus anatinus (platypus), 138 nucleotides. The record is from Rfam. Lineage: Eukaryota; Metazoa; Chordata; Mammalia; Monotremata; Ornithorhynchidae.